CUCCUCAGUCCUCACUCCGCCGGUGCCGCCGGAGCGGAGAACCCAGACAGGGAGCAAGGAGAGCCGACGGUGCCGGCGGAGAGCGAGACGAUGCGGUGAGCGAACGAGUCGGGGGGUGGUUUUCCUCGCAUCACAGGCGCACGCGGCUGCCCAAGCACCCGCUGACUUCCAUGUCUUGUUUGCUGCAACGAAGCAAACAAUUUGGCAGGCAAUAUCUGGGAACGGGUUACACAGCCGCAUUAGCGACAAGACUUCAGAUUGCUUUCCUGCCUUUUCAUCUGCUCUCCCCUCUGGAUCCUUCACUGAUACCACUUCAUUGAUUGAGACCAGGCUCCAAGCAGAUUGAUGAUACUCUGCAUGAUUUGCCUUUUUCACGGUUUUGUUCCACUUGUCAUACAUCAAACACGGGAUAGCAUAUCAUUUGUCUUCGAUUCUAGAACAAUACAAAAGAAAUUAGCUAGGCAGCUGCCCUUUUGGAGGUCACUCUAUCAGAUCCUCUCAACACCCAAGUAUACUGACCUCAGACCCAUUAAAAUAGCCGCAAAUGAGAAGACAAAUGAGUUGGUUGGUUAUGAUAACAAACUGCAAAUUUAGUGUCUUCCCGUCCAUUUGCGAAGAUGGAGGAGCACACAAUUUCUGUUGGUAUAAACUUGUAGUGUUCUUUCACUCCUGUGUUAGCAUCAUUAGUAGUACUGUAGCAGUCGAAUAGGGUAACCAUAUUUGGUCCCCUUUAUACAUGGAAAUCAUGCAUAACACACCAUCAUUCUACGCUUAACUUCCAAUAUCACUCUUGCAUUUGACAGAUCUAAUAAAACCACACUGUACAGAGAAUAAAAAGAAACCCAACUCACACAUGCCUUUUAUUAAACCAACCGCGUCACUUCACCUUUUCAGAUCCCACAUGCCAAGAAAGGCUUGGUUAGGCACGGCUAGUACUUU
This is a long non-coding RNA of Panicum virgatum (switchgrass), 939 nucleotides long. RefSeq lists it as uncharacterized. The transcript is spliced from 2 exons. Lineage: Eukaryota; Viridiplantae; Streptophyta; Magnoliopsida; Poales; Poaceae. The record is from RefSeq and is a predicted model, not a curated record.